Molecule: unclassified non-coding RNA, 367 nt
Filed under: uncultured bacterium
Lineage: Bacteria
Description: contains 16S-23S intergenic spacer region
Source: RNAcentral
UCCCAGUUAAACUAGGCAGUCUUGUAUGAGAAAUACAACAUACAACAAGGGUUGCGCUCGUUUACGGACUUAACCGAACACCUCAAGGCACGAGCUGACGACAACCAUGCAGCACCUGUCUCCGAGUUCCUUGCGGCACUUCUGCCUUUCAGCAGAAUUCUCGGGAUGUCAAGCCUAGGUAAGGUUCCUCGCUUACUGUCGAAUUAAACCACAUGCUCCACCGCUUGUGUGGGCCCCCGUCUAUUCCUUUGAGUUUUAGCCUUGCGGCCGUACUACUCAGGCGGAGUGCUUAUUGCGUUAGCGUCGGCGCUCAAGGGAACCGAGACCCUUUGAACACCUAGCACUCAUAGUUUACGGCGUGGACUAC